Molecule: transfer RNA, 86 nt
Filed under: Eubacteriales Family XIII. Incertae Sedis bacterium
Lineage: Bacteria; Bacillati; Bacillota; Clostridia; Peptostreptococcales; Anaerovoracaceae
Description: tRNA-Leu
Rfam family: tRNA
About the family: Transfer RNA (tRNA) molecules are approximately 80 nucleotides in length.
Source: RNAcentral
GCGGGCGUGGCGGAAUUGGCAGACGCGCUGGAUUUAGGAUCCAGUGGGCAACCCCCGUGAAGGUUCAAGUCCUUUCGUCCGCACCA